This 395-nucleotide ribosomal RNA is filed under the name uncultured bacterium. RNAcentral describes it as "partial 16S ribosomal RNA". It matches the Rfam family "Bacterial small subunit ribosomal RNA", at positions 338 to 730 of the family's 1533-position model. The record is from RNAcentral.
CCUACGGGAGGCAGCAGUGAGGAAUAUUGGUCAAUGGACGGAAGCCUGAACCAGCCAAGCCGCGUGCGGGAAGACGGUACAGCGUAUUGUAAACCGCUUUUGUCCGGGAAUAAACGCGGGGACGAGUCUCCGGAUGAGGGUACCUGAAGAAUAAGCAUCGGCUAACUCCGUGCCAGCAGCCGCGGUAAUACGGAGGAUUCGAGCGUUAUCCGGAUUUAUUGGGUUUAAAGGGUGCGCAGGCGGCCUGUUAAGUUAGCGGUGAAAUGCCCGGGCUUAACUCGGGAGCAGCCGUUAAGACUGGCGGGCUGGAGAGGGGGAGAGGUAGGCGGAAUGUGCGGUGUAGCGGUGAAAUGCUUAGAGAUCGCACAGAACCCCGAUUGCGAAGGCAGCGUACC